UGAUGAUCAGGGGACACGUACAGGCUUUAUUAGUAGUACUCUUGGUUGUUAUAGAAGAAGAAUUGUUGUUGUUAUAGAAGAGGAGGUUUUGUUAUAGAAGAGGAUGUGUUGUUAUAGAAGAGGAGGUGUUGUUAUAGAAGAGGAGGUAUUGUUAUGGAAAAUGGAGUGUUGUUAUAGAAGAGGAGAUGUUGUUAUAGAAGAUGGUUGUUGUUAUUGUGUUCAUAAUGACUUUUCUGUAGACAAUGCAUGGCUCAGGUGAAGGCUACACACUAUUAGUGGAAGGGUUGAUUUCACUUGAGAAUAUAAAGAUGACAAAGCUGC
RNAcentral lists this long non-coding RNA (321 nucleotides) under Salmo salar (Atlantic salmon). RNAcentral's name for it is "lncRNA (ENSSSAG00000100618.1)". The record is from RNAcentral. Lineage: Eukaryota; Metazoa; Chordata; Actinopteri; Salmoniformes; Salmonidae.